GCACGUUUUGCGUCUUGCGUCAUCAUGUAGUGGCUUACUGGCGCGCGUUCUUUCGGUCGGUGCAGAGUGAAAUGGAUGGAAAUUCGUGGAACAACACCACCAGAGACUGAAACCCAUCAUCGUAUUUUUACAAGAUUGAAGCCGAGUUUGCUCGCCUCACCACUGUUGACCUGAAAGGCUGUCUCUUUGCUGGCCUUGACAAGUCUGCAGAGGUUUAUUGAUCUCUACAGAGCCAAGUGUGGUGGAGCUGAAGAAACUGUUGACAACACUGGAUAGUGAUUGUUCCAACCAAUGGAAAAGGACCAUCGUGCUGAUGGGGCUCCCCGACUACCUCAAAGAUGUUGCGUCCAACUUUUACAAGAAAGUUCAGGCCACAGUUGCUGAGGAGGACAUGACGAGAGGAAUGACUGUGGGCAUCCUCGUGGUGGCAGACGGGAAUGAUACUGUUGGUUUCGCUGUGGUCAUUGAGGAAGAAAUCAUCCUUCCGUCGCUCAGUGAUUUUCCAACGGCUGUGGCACUUCUGAUGGGUCUGCUCUAUGCACUGAACAUUGAAUACCCCAAAGACACAAGGUACACAUUUGAAGUCAUUCAGAAGGUGCUCAUGGACAUUGGUGGAGGCCAUUGCACUGCGUUGGUUCAUGGCUUGAGAAACAGACUCUUGAGGAAAACCAUGUAAGCUUAAAGCAGAGUUUAAGCUUUGCCCAAAUGUGAACAAAAUGUGAACUUGAUUGAGAAAUGGACUCUUUGUUAUUUUUGUUAGAUGUCUUAUACAUUGUGUACUGUUUGGGGGACACAAUAACACACACGGUAUGGAUUUAUUUGGGGGACACAGUAACACACGGUGUGGAUUUAUUUGGGGGACACAGUAACACACUCGGUGUGUUUAUUUUGGGGACAGGGUAACACACUCGUGUGUGUUCAUUUUGAAAGACAGUAAAACACACAGUAUGGAUUUAUUUGGGGGAAGGGAACACAAACUGGGGUUUUAUCCACAGUGUGUAUGUGAUCAAUCUUGUUAUUUGUGAUGCACUUUUUUAUUCUUUGGUUAAUUGCUCUAUUAUUUGUAACUGGCUGCACAUUGUUUAAUGCCAAAACAUUUGUUUAAGAGGUCAUCAAAAUGGGAAAAUUGCCUUAAAUGUCUAUAACUUACAAUGCAAGAUACAUUUUAGUAUUGGUGAUUGCCUAAAUAGGAUGCAUUAAAUAAUGGACACCUAGUGAGAUGGUACAAAUGUUCCAUUUUUAUGACAUCAUGUGUUGGUACUGUUUUAAAGGAGUAGCUCACUCAAAAAUGACUUAUUUUCUAUCACUUACACACCUCAGGAAGCCUUCAAUUCAUUUAUUUUUUUAUUUUUGUUGCAUUCCUUAUUGAGACAAAAAUGUGAGUCUUCACUCUUUAAUCAAAUUAUUGGCUCAAUAAUGCAAAAACAAACAAUCUUCAUGAAUUCAAGCCUUCAUGGGGUGUGUAACUGAUAGAAAAUAAGUAUUUGUUCCAAAAAGUUAUUGUAUUUACUCAUCUGUUUUUAUUAAAGAGGCUUGAGUUAGA
Long non-coding RNA from Alosa alosa (allis shad), 1543 nucleotides. RefSeq lists it as uncharacterized. NCBI's taxonomy places the organism in Eukaryota, Metazoa, Chordata, Actinopteri, Clupeiformes, Clupeidae. The transcript has 4 exons. The record is from RefSeq and is a predicted model, not a curated record.